AGAGUUUGAUCGUGGCUCAGGACGAACGCUGGCGGCGUGCUUAACACAUGCAAGUCGAACGAUGAUGCGGCGCUUGCGCCGUUGAUUAGUGGCGAACGGGUGAGUAACACGUGAGUAACCUGCCCCCUUCUUCGGGAUAACGGUCUGAAAGGGCUGCUAAUACCGGGUAUUCACUGGUCUCCGCAUGGGGGCUGGUGGAAAGGGUUUUUUCUGGUGGGGGAUGGGCUCGCGGCCUAUCAGCUUGUUGGUGGGGUGAUGGCCCACCAAGGCUUUGACGGGUAGCCGGCCUGAGAGGGUGACCGGUCACAUUGGGACUGAGAUACGGCCCAGACUCCUACGGGAGGCAGCAGUGGGGAAUAUUGCACAAUGGGCGCAAGCCUGAUGCAGCGACGCCGCGUGAGGGACGGAGGCCUUCGGGUUGUGAACCUCUUUCGCCCGUGGUCAAGCCGCGACGUGGGUCGUGGUGAGGGUAGUGUAAAGAGC
RNAcentral lists this ribosomal RNA (483 nucleotides) under uncultured organism. RNAcentral's name for it is "bacterial SSU rRNA". It matches the Rfam family "Bacterial small subunit ribosomal RNA", at positions 8 to 491 of the family's 1533-position model. The record is from RNAcentral.